Molecule: RNA transcript, 1373 nt
Organism: Nycticebus coucang (slow loris)
Lineage: Eukaryota; Metazoa; Chordata; Mammalia; Primates; Lorisidae
Gene name: COP9 signalosome complex subunit 2-like
Exons: 2
Source: RefSeq, a predicted model, not a curated record
AUGUAUGACAUCGAGGAUGAUUUCAUGUGCGAUGAGGAGGAGGACUACAACCUGGAAUACUCUGAAGAUAGUAACUCUUAAGCCAAAUGUGGAUUUGUAAAAUCAGUACUAUAAUUCCAAAGCAUUAAAAGAAGAUGACCCAAAAGCAGCAUUAAGCAGUUUCCAAAAGGUUUUGGAACUUGAAGGUGAAAAAGGAGAACAGGGAUUUAAAGCACUGAAACAAAUGAUUAAGAUUAACUUCAAGUUGACAAACUUUCCAGAAAUGAUGAAUAGAUAUAAACAACUAUUGACCUAAAUUCAGAGUGCAGUCACAAGAAAUUAUUCUGAAAAAUCGAUUAAUUCUAUUCUUGAUUAUAUCUCCACUUCUAAACAGAAUUCUGAUUUUUUAUGUCAGAUGAAUUUACUGCAGGAAUUCUAUGAAAUAACACUGGAAACUUUGAAAGAUGCUAAGAAUGAUAGACUGUGGUUUAUGACAAACACAAAGCUUGGAAAAUUAUAUUUAGAACGAGAGGAAUAUGGGAAGCUUCAAAAAAUUUUAUGCCAGUUACCUAAAUCCUGCCAGACUGAUGAUGUCAAGAAGAUGACUUGAAAAAAGGUGCACAGUUAUUAGAAAUAUAUGCUUUGGAAAUUUAGAUGUACAUGGCACAGAAAAGUAACAAAAAACUUAAAGCACUCUAUGAAUAGUCACUUCACAUCAAGUCUGCCAUCCCUCAUCCAUUGAUCAUAGGAGUUAUCAGAGAAUGUGGUGGUAAAAUGCACUUGAGAGAAGGUGAAUUUGAAAAGGCACACGCUGAUUUUUUUUGAAGCCUUUAAGAAUUAUGAUGAAUCAGGAAGUCCAAGAUGAACCACUUGCUUAAAAUAUUUGAUCUUAGCAAAUAUACUAAUGAAAUCGGGAACUAAUGCAUUUCACUCACAGGAGGCCAAGCCGUACAAAAAUGAUCCAGAAAUUUCAGCAAUGACAAAUUUAGUAAGUACCUAUCAGAAUAAUGACAUCAUUGAAUUUGAAAAGAUUCUGAAAACAAAUCACAGCAACAUCAUGGAUGAUCCUUUCAUAACAGAACACAUUGAAGAAGUUUUAUGAGACAUCAGAACACAAGUGCUCAUAAAAUUUAUUAAGCCUUACACAAGAAUACAUAUUCCUUUUAUUUCUAAGGAGUUAAACACAGAUGUAGCGAAUGUGGAGAGCUUGCUGGUGCAGUGCACAUUGGAUAACACUAUUCAUGGCCGAAUUGCUCUAGUCAACCAACUCCUUGCACUGGAUCAUCAGAAGAGGGGUGGUGCACGAUAUACUGCACUAGAUAAAUGGACCAAUCAACUAAAUUCUCUCAACCAGGCUGUAAUCAGUAAACUGGCUUAACAAAGAACAAGCUUUU